AACGAAUGCUGGCGGCAGGCCUUACACAUGCAAGUCGAACGCGAAAGUCCUUCGGGAUGAGUAAAGUGGCGCACGGGUGAGUAACGCGUGGGAACAUGCCCUUCAGUACGGGAUAACAGCGGGAAACUGCUGCUAAUACCGUAUAUUCCCUACGGGGGAAAGAUUUAUCGCUGAAGGAUUGGCCCGCGUUAGAUUAGCUAGUUGGUGAGGUAAUGGCUCACCAAGGCUACGAUCUAUAGCCGGUCUGAGAGGACGAUCGGCCACACUGGAACUGAGACACGGUCCAGACUCCUACGGGAGGCAGGAGUGGGGAAUAUUGGACAAUGGGCGAAAGCCUGAUCCAGCCAUGCCGCGUGAGUGAUGAAGGCCUUAGGGUUGUAAAGCUCUUUUGGCGGGGAAGAUAAUGACGGUACCCGCAGAAUAAGCCCCGGCUAACUACGUGCCAGCAGCCGCCGUAA
RNAcentral lists this ribosomal RNA (458 nucleotides) under uncultured bacterium. RNAcentral describes it as "partial 16S ribosomal RNA". It matches the Rfam family "Bacterial small subunit ribosomal RNA", at positions 29 to 523 of the family's 1533-position model. The record is from RNAcentral.